Molecule: long non-coding RNA, 2343 nt
Filed under: Nicotiana tabacum (common tobacco)
Lineage: Eukaryota; Viridiplantae; Streptophyta; Magnoliopsida; Solanales; Solanaceae
Description: long non-coding RNA (NTAB_LNC006591)
Source: RNAcentral
GCGCCGCAUCACUCACCUUGGACAGCAAAUUGACACACUUAGUGAUCUUUCUUCUUAAUUUCCUUCCAUAACACCCAACCUUUUUCCUCUGCGAUUGGUUGACAAGCUGAUCUCCAUAUUAUUGUCUACUAAUCGAAAUCACCCAAAACUCCGUCUCUACCCGUUUUUGUCUCCAUCUCUUUCUUUCGUUCUCAAGAUUAAUAAAGGUAUAAAUCACGGGUUGAGUUUAGUGAGAUGUCCGGCGGGGCUCUCCGGUGGAGAUCUUGUUCGCGGUUUUGUCACUUUUGCGUUUCUAAGCUGCCACUCAUUUAAAUUUCAGAUUUAUUUGAGGUCUAUUUCUUCUUUUCUUCUUUUGUUUUGCUUAAUAUCAUGAUUUCAUUAUUUCGCUAAUUUGUCGUUGCUCUGUUUCGUUAAAUAUUUGAACUGAUGCUUCUUUGCUCUGUUUCAAGAUGCCUUGGCAAUAUUUGUUUACUCCAUUUUGUUGCAAAUUAUUGUUUAUAUAUAUAUUUUUUAGUUUAAUCUGUUUGGAUGGGUUUUGAUGGCUAGAAUAAGUUUUUUUUUGAUUCCAUGUUUCCUUGCUUUAUUAAGAGAUAAUUGUUUUAAGCUUCACAAUUAAUAUUUUGAUGGCAACAGACUUAAAUUAACAAAAUUAAGCAGGCUGAUUUUGAACUAAUAAAGGGUGGGUGCAUUAUUUGGUGAGCGUCACACCUCCUUUUUACACACCCGAAGGUAGUAUAAGGGAGUUUUUCCAAUUUAAGUGACAUUAUUCGAAAUGGGAUUAAUUAUUCAUUUUUUGUUCAGAGUCGCCACUUGGGAUGAUUUGUUUUCUGGUGUCCCAAGUCACCGGUUUAUUUUUUUAAUCCCAAAUCGAGGAAGAUUUCGACAUUCCUUUUGAAGUCUGCGAACCAGAAAUUCUAAGUAAGGAAUUCUGUUAACCCGAGGGAAGGUGUUAGGCACCCCCGGAUUCCGUGGUUCUAGCACGGUCGCUUAAACUAUCUAAUUGACCUAUUAUCUGAUUUUAAUACAUGUUUUAGCCUAUGGUACAUUUUAACUUUAUUAAAACACUUUUAAUUAUUUUUAGGAAGAUUCAACAUUAUCUUGGCUCAUAUAUGAAAUGAUCAUGUGUAGUAUAAGUAUUUCUCUUACUGUUUCUUAAAGUUGGCUUCGCAAUGAUGCACUAAUUCCUACAUAAUGCAAUGUAUUAGCAAUAUGAUAUAUCCUAAUAAUGAAUCCGUUUUUUUAGGAUGAUCGUAUACAUGCCUCCAUUGAAAAAUAUAUACGUUUUUUAGGACCAAGAUACAAGAAGUCGGCUUAUAUUGCAUGAACUAAUUUGUUGUCGAACCAGACAACAAAUUAAAAACCUUAAGUGGAGGCAGAAUUAUUCGAUAAUUCUUCUCUUCCAUUAUUACCAUGUUUUAUAAAGUUCACAAUUUCUCCAACUUGUAACAUUAAAUUUAAAAAACAGAUUCAUGUUUCUUUUCUUUUCUAUAGGGACCUAACAUAGGUGCCCGAAAGAGAAUAAUAUACAGCCUGGAACAUUCAAAUCCAGAAAAUCUGAGCGGUCUAAAGUGGAGGGAAAAAUAAAUACAGUAUGUGAAUGAAGUGGAAUGAAAGAGUUAAAAAAAUAAUAAUUAUCUGUGUUGGGCACUCCAUUUCGCAGUGAUGAUUAACUCUGCUUUCCCAAUGUAUUGUCAAACCAUUUUAUGGCUCCAUUCAGUUGUGCAAUUUUCUUUCCUUCUACGGUAUGCUAGAGCUUCAAGCCAUUGCAUUUUCAUAUUCCUGGCUCCCAAACAACAACUGAACGUUUAUACAAAUCCACAAACAAACUUCUUCAGUCUAUAAUUGGUUUCUUCUGCACCAAACAAAGUAACAUAUAACAAGGAUAAAGGUGAACAAUUAUGUUGAAGCAGAGCAAAGUCUCAUUUGCCAUCUUAAUGCCUCCAGAUUUAGUCCUACUGUAGAAAUUCUGAAAAACUGCAGUGAACACAAAGUUUUUGUUGUCCCCUUCUUCUAACGUGAAUCAUGAUGGUGGUCUCAACAGUUUAGCUCUUGAUGGUUUAUACUUUCUGUCCUCCUUUUCAUGUUCUUCACUACCAAGAUAUCCUUAAGCUGCGCGCCACCUGCUAUUUUAGCAAAUAACAACUUAAUGGGGAACUUUUAAGCCCCAAAAAGUUCUUUUCUUCUCUUCUUAUCAAUAGUCGUUGAUUCAAUUCUUCAUCCUUAGACCAAUCCACCUCAUUAAUUCCAGCACUUCCCAAUGGAAACAUUACAAAGAAAAUUUGAUUAACUGGUAGGUGACAUACAUAUGCAUCAUGCUUCAAUAUCAAUAUUUAAGGCCAUUCU